This 883-nucleotide long non-coding RNA is filed under the name Nicotiana benthamiana. RNAcentral's name for it is "long non-coding RNA (NBEN_LNC038044)". The record is from RNAcentral. Lineage: Eukaryota; Viridiplantae; Streptophyta; Magnoliopsida; Solanales; Solanaceae.
CUAAAAUUGACCAACCUCUACAAACGAAACGUUCCAAAACGUACUAGGAGUAUACCCCGCUACCGCCUGCAAACAAUUGGGGACAAAGUGUGCUUGCGCUUGCGCUUGCGCUUGCGCUUGCACUGAUGUUUGGACUGGGUAACAAUGGCGCAACAAAACAUCUCUUUUCCAUCAGAUUUCAGCUCUUUUACUCCACAGCUGCAGCGACUUCUCCUGCCUAUGUAUUGGUGGACUUUCUGGUAAAUUCACUUGGCUUCUCCAACAAAGAAGCCAUUUCUACAAGCUCCAAGGUAACUCGUUCGAGACUCCGAAAUUAUGAGCCACAUUUGUUACUUGAUUUCUUUCACAAAGUAGGUAUGAACAAAAGCCAUAUCAAAACCCUUGUUUCUUCUUCCCCUGAAGUGGUUACUUGAUCUCUUUCACAAAGUGGGUAUGAACAAAACCCAGAUCAAAACCCUUGUUUCUUCUUCCCCUGAAGUGUUGUUUUCUCAUAUUGAUAAAAACCUUAAACCCAAAAUUAAGGUUUUACAAGAAGUUGGCUUAUCUGGGUCUGACCUUGUUACUUUUAUCAAUUAAAGCGAUUUCUUGACUAGAGGUUUACAUACUACUAUUAAACCUAGUCUUGAUUAUCUUCGGGAGUAUUUGGGCAGUUAUGAUGCUGUAGCUAGGGUUGUUAAGAAAGAGCCUAGGCUGCUUUCUAAUAAUCUCCCUAAAGUAAUACCACCCAAUAUACUAUUGUUGCAAAAUCUUGGGUUUUCGCUAGGGGAUAUUGAGACGGUUUUUCAUCGGCGUCCUAGGUAUCUGCUUAAUAACCCUGAGUGGCUUGAGAGAGUAGUAAAUCAAGCAGAAAAGAAUUUUAACGUACCUCGGGAGUCACGGAUGU